This 462-nucleotide ribosomal RNA is filed under the name uncultured bacterium. RNAcentral's name for it is "partial 16S ribosomal RNA". It matches the Rfam family "Bacterial small subunit ribosomal RNA", at positions 30 to 507 of the family's 1533-position model. The record is from RNAcentral.
AUGAACGCUGACAGAAUGCUUAACACAUGCAAGUCGAUGGGGAAGUGGUGCUUGCACCAUGGCAACCAUGGCGGACGGGUGAGUAACGCGUAAGGGACUUACCUGCAGGACUGGGAUAACAGGGGGAAACUCCUGACAAGACCGGAUAAUGUCAUGGAGCUGCAUGGCUUUAUGAUGAAAGGAGACGCCUGCGGAGAGCCUUGCGUCCUAUUAGCUAGUUGGUGAGGUAAUGGCUCACCAAGGCGAAGAUAGGUAGCCGGCCUGAGAGGGUGGACGGCCACAAGGAGACUGAGAUACGGCCCAUACUCCGACGGGAGGCAACAGUGGAGAAUAUUGGACAAUGGGGGCAACCCUGAUACAGCAGUUCUGUGUGAAUGAAGAAGGUUUUCGGAUUGUAAAGUGCUUUCAGCAGGGAAGAAGUAAGUGACGGUACCUGCAGAAGAAGCGACGGCUAAAUACGUG